GCCCUCGUAGUCAACUGGAAGAUCGUGGCCUCCCAAGUCCAGGGCUGCGAGUUCGAGUCUCGCCGAGGGCA
Molecule: transfer RNA, 71 nt
Filed under: Ardenticatenia bacterium
Lineage: Bacteria; Bacillati; Chloroflexota; Ardenticatenia
Description: tRNA-Gly
Rfam family: tRNA
About the family: Transfer RNA (tRNA) molecules are approximately 80 nucleotides in length. Their secondary structure includes four short double-helical elements and three loops (D, anti-codon, and T loops).
Source: RNAcentral